Dreissena polymorpha is the source of this 1130-nucleotide long non-coding RNA. RefSeq lists it as uncharacterized. Lineage: Eukaryota; Metazoa; Mollusca; Bivalvia; Myida; Dreissenidae. The record is from RefSeq and is a predicted model, not a curated record. The transcript is spliced from 4 exons.
ACCGAAUUAGCAGGGACUGAUGCAUAUCUGGGAAGCCAGCAUCCUGGGCAGUCGGCAAUGGGGCUUAAUGCUUGUGAGUAAAGUGUCGUCCUAGAAGAAUUACAUCUGUGAAAGCAAUUUCCACCUAGACUGGAUUUUUGUUUACAAGAGACUUCCUUUAAACAAAGGAUACAAUUAAAGUGGAAAGUGUUGUGCAGACUUCACAGGCUAUUUUAUUACAACCUUUCCCCGAGCAACACCCAUGUUCAAGUGCAACACGUUAUCUUAGUAAAAGCAAACAAAAAUCUGAAUUGCCCAAAGAUACUACAGUCGUUAAUGGAUGCCAAAACGAAGUGUUUAGAAAGUCUAUUCAUUUGAAAUAGCUUCCAAAAAUUAUAACUGUAUUAAUAGUAAUGGAGUUGAACUGCAUAUGAAGUUUCAAGAAAAUCUGCUAAUGUAAAAGAAGUUACGUUGAAACCAGAGGACCCUAAGGAUCCCUGAACGUCACAUGAGAAAUUGAAGCUUUCUUGAGUUUCCUGGUUUGGGGCUUCUGUUGACAACAGGCAAAAUACGAAUAUAUCUUGCUAUGUAAGCCUAUAUUAAACAUUUAACGCCUCCCAACAGGUGUGGCCAAAAUGAUCCCAGUGUAACAUACCAAAAAGAAUAGCUUUUUGCCUUGUCCGUAUGGCCAAAAAAAAGUUUGAAGAUAUUUUGCAAACUUUAUACGACACCUCGGGCCUGGCCAGUUUUUACCCCUGGGACAUGAUUUGAACACGCUUUGCAGACAACGACUAUUUGAUGUUACAUAUUUACUUGAAAUAUCAAAGCUCUGGGCCUUGUUGCAGAGAUUUUAAGUCAUUUUGCUGUUAACCAUGUUAAAAAAUGUUUCCCCCUGUGGCGUGGUCAGUUUUGACCACAGGGACAUGAUUGGUACAAACUUUAAAGAGGUCCUCCAGAUGAAGCUACAUACAAAGUAUGAAAGUCUUGAACUUUGCAGUUUCACAGAAACUUUCAGGUACUCCAACUUUCUAGAGAUUCCUCGGGUUAAAUCAACAAAGUUCGGUAGCAACAGUUUCCGGCAUGCGGCUCCAGUUCUGUGGAAUUCUUUGCCAGAAAGCUUCAGAAAAGCAAGUCAUUUUAAUCAAUUUAAG